CACCGUUUAAUUUAUAGUGUCGAAAUAGCUCUUUCAACACAUUGCUCUUUCAGUACUUCUUACCCGCUUUUAAGUAGCUGCCUUAGAUGCACAGAGGCUGAGAUCACAUUUCAAGAAAAGAAACUUUUCUUUGACACUGGUUUCCCACUAAAGGCAGAUAUUCCUACUGCUGGCAUAUCCUCAAACAGAACAGCUAUGAUAAUCCUUCUCUCCAGCAGGCCAAGAUUAUUUUACUCCAUCUUUUCUUGUGAAUGAAAUCCCUGUGAUGUACAUCCUCCCAAACCCCUGUCCAAGCAGAACAUCCAGCACAAACAGACAACCACCAAUGGCAGUCAUGAUGGGUGUGUGGUGAUGAUGGAUGCAUCCUGAGUAUGGGGGAGACAGAAGCCAAAGGGCUAAUUUGAACAAUACACGCAUACACUGCUGUCCAAAUUUGGAAGAAAGUUUAACUGAAGCCAAAUUUGGAAAAAAAUAACACUCAUAUGCAAAUAUAACUGUAAGUCCGUGAUCUUACAUCAUAAAUAUUAAGCAGCCCAAGAGCCCUUUGAGAUCUCCUGACACAACAGGACCUCAAAAAGCAUAAGGAGGAUCCUCAUAACCACAGACUGGUCAGCCUCACCUCCAUCCCUGGUAAGGUGAUGGAACAACUUUAGACAUUUAUAAAUCUUACAUACAUUUAGAUAUUUUUAGAAAUUUGCCCAGAAAGUGUAUGAUAUGAAAAGACAAAGUAGACAAUCCAUAGGUGGGAAGCUGGAUCAGACUUGUUAAAACAGGAAAUUGUGACAUGAACACAAAUUUCAGAGUUAAUAAUUUUA
This 815-nucleotide long non-coding RNA is filed under the name Anas platyrhynchos platyrhynchos (common mallard). RNAcentral describes it as "lncRNA (ENSAPLG00000019034.1)". The record is from RNAcentral. Lineage: Eukaryota; Metazoa; Chordata; Aves; Anseriformes; Anatidae.